This 584-nucleotide ribosomal RNA is filed under the name Campylobacter concisus. RNAcentral describes it as "bacterial SSU rRNA". It matches the Rfam family "Bacterial small subunit ribosomal RNA", at positions 653 to 1232 of the family's 1533-position model. The record is from RNAcentral. Lineage: Bacteria; Pseudomonadati; Campylobacterota; Epsilonproteobacteria; Campylobacterales; Campylobacteraceae.
AGAGGCAGAUGGAAUUGGUGGUGUAGGGGUAAAAUCCCUAGAGAUCACCAGGAAUACCCAUUGCGAAGGCGAUCUGCUGGAACUCAACUGACGCUAAUGCGUGAAAGCGUGGGGAGCAAACAGGAUUAGAUACCCCGGUAGUCCACGCCCUAAACGAUGUAUACUAGUUGUUGCUAAGCUAGUCUUGGCAGUAAUGCACCUAACGGAUUAAGUAUACCGCCUGGGGAGUACGGUCGCAAGAUUAAAACUCAAAGGAAUAGACGGGGACCCGCACAAGCGGUGGAGCAUGUGGUUUAAUUCGAAGAUACGCGAAGAACCUUACCCGGACUUGAUAUCUAACAAAUCAUCUAGAGAUAGAAGAGUGUCUGCUUGCAGAAAUGUUAAGACAGGUGCUGCACGGCUGUCGUCAGCUCGUGUCGUGAGAUGUUGGGUUAAGUCCCGCAACGAGCGCAACCCACGUCAUUUAUUUGCUAACAGUUCGGCUGAGCACUCUAAUGAGACUGCCUUCGUAAGGAGGAGGAAGGUGUGGACGACGUCAAGUCAUCAUGGCCCUUAUGUCCCGGGGCGACACACGUGCUACAAUG